CAAUAGCGUAUAUUAACGUUGUUGCAGUUAAAAAGCUCGUAGUUGGAUUUCUGGAGGGAGCGUCGGCCCGUAUUUACGAGUGCGUGACGUCUCUGUCCAUCCUUGCGGGAAGGCACGGCAUUGAUUUGUUGUGUCGGAUCGCAUCAUUUACUGUGAAAAAAUUAGAGUGUUCAAAGCAGCUUUCGCUUGAAUACAUUAGCAUGGAAUAAUAAGAUAGGACUUUGGUGCUAUUUUGUUGGUUGAGCCUAAAGUAAUGAUUAAUAGGGAUAGUUGGGGGCACCUGUAUUGCGUUGUCAGAGGUGAAAUUCUUGGAUUUACGCAAGACAAACAGCUGCGAANGNGUCUGCNAAGGAUGUUUNCAUUA
RNAcentral lists this ribosomal RNA (364 nucleotides) under uncultured eukaryote. RNAcentral's name for it is "partial 18S ribosomal RNA". It matches the Rfam family "Eukaryotic small subunit ribosomal RNA", at positions 592 to 975 of the family's 1831-position model. The record is from RNAcentral.